AUUAUUGUUGUUAAUAUUAUUAUUAUUAUUAUUAUUAUUAUUAUUAUUAUUAUUAUUAUUAUUAUUAUUAUUAUUGUUAUUAUUGUAAUUAUUAUUAUUAUUAUUAUUAUUAUUAUUAUUAUUAUUAUUAUUAUUAUUAUUGUUGUUAUUUUUACUAUGGUUAUUUUUGGAAGGGCAUUGUCCUCUGCCCUUUACUUCCUUUUGAUUUAUCUUUUCAUUAAUUUUUUUCUAUAUUUACUUAACAACUAGGAUCAGUUUAUCGGAAUAUUAGACAAGAUAACGACCGACAACCUGUUUCAAAUCAACAAUUCAACAGAGAGAACAUCUUUAACUUCGACGGCACGCCACUAGGAUCGCCCCUAGCUAAGAUCAGUUUAUCGGAGUACCAGACAUCCGACAACCAAUUUCAAAUCAGCAAUUCAAAAGAGAGAACAUCUUCAACUUCGACGGCACGCCACCAGGAUCGCCACCAGCUAAGUGAAUUUUCCUCUUCCGUUUUCUUCCUUUCAUUGAUCUUUUUAUUUAUUUUUUUAAAUUUUUGUUUAUUGUGUUAUUAUAGUUAUUAUUAUUAUUAUUAUUAUUAUUGUAGUUAUUAUUUUUAUUAUUGUUGUUAUUAUAAUAAUAAUAAUAAUAAUAAUAAUAAUAAUAUUAAUAAUUAUUAUUAUUAUUAUUAUUAUUAUUAUUAUUAUUAUUAUUAUUAUUAUUAUUGUUAUUAUUAUUAUUUUUACUAUGGUUAUUUUUGGAAAGGCAUUGUCCUCUUCCCUUUGCUUCUCUUUGAUUUAUCUUUUCAUUAAUUUUUUUUUAUAUUUACUUUACAACAAGGAUUAGUUUAUCGGAGUAUCAGACAAGAUAACGACCGGCAACCAGUUUCAAAUCAGCAAUUCAACAGAGAGAAAAUCUUCAACUUCGACGGCACGCUACUAGGAUCGCCACCAGCUAAGUGCAUUUUCCUCUUCCGUUUUCUUCCUUUCAUUUAUCUUUUUUUUGAUUUUUUUUAUAAUUACUUUUCGUGAUUGUGAUUGUGAUUAUAAUUGUGAUUGUGAUUGUGAUUGUGAUUGUGAUUUUGAUUUUGUUUGUUUUUGUGUUUGUGUUUGUGUUUGUGUUUGUGAUUGUGUUUGUUAAUGCGUUUGUGAUUGCGUUUGUGUUUGUGAUUGUGUUUGUGUUUGUGUUUGUGAUUGUGAUUGUGUUUGUGUUUGUGUUUGUGUUUGGGUUUGGGUUUGGGUUUGGGUUUGGGAUUGGGAUUGGGAUUGGGUUUGUGUUUGUGUUUGUGUUUGUGUUUGUGUUUGUGUUUGUGUUUGUGUUUGUGAUUGUGUUUGUGUUUGUGUUUUUUUGUUUGUGUUUGUGAUUGUGAUUGUGUUUGUGUUUGUGUUUGUGUUUGUGUUUUCUGUUUGUGUUUGUGUUUGUGUUUGUGUUUGUGAUUGUGAUUGUGAUUGGGAUUGGGAUUGGGAUUGGGAUUGGGAUUGGAAUUGUGUAUGUGUUUGUUUUUGUGUUUGUGUUUGUGUUUGUGAUUGUGAUUGUGAUUGCGAUUGCGAUUGCGAUUGCGAUUGCGAUUGUGUGUGUUUGAUUGUGAUUGUGAUUGUGAUUGUGAUUGUGAUUGUGCUUGUGCUUGUGCUUGUGCUUUUGCUUUUGCUUUUGCUUUUGCUUUUGCUUUUCUUUUGCUUGUGCUUGUGAUUGUGAUUGUGAUUGUGACUAUAAUUGUGAUUGUGAUUGUGAUUGUGAUUGAAUGUGAUUGUGAUUGUUAUUAUUAUUGUUAUUAUUUUUAUUGUUAUUAAUAUUAUCAUUAUUAUUAUAUGAUUAUUAUUAUUAUUAGGGUUAUUUUUGGUUGUGUGUAGGUAUCCUACCGGCAAGACAACAACUAGGAUCAGUUUAUCGGAGUAACGGACAAGAUAACGACCGACAACUAGUUUCAAAUCAGCAAUUUAAUAGAGAGAACAUCUUCAACUUCGACGGCCCGUCACCAGGAUCACCACCAGCUAAGUGCAUUUUCCUUUUUCCCUUUCUUCCUUUCAUUCAUCUUUUUAUUUAUUAUUUUUAUAUUUACUUAUUGUAUUAUUAUUGUUAUUAUUAUUGUUAUUAUUUUUAUUGUUAUUAUUAUUAUUAUUAUUAUUAUUAUUAUUAUUAUUAUUAUUAUUAUUGUUUUUAUUAUUAUUAUUAUUGUUAUAUGAUUAUUAUUAUUAUUAUUAUUAUUAUUAUUAUUAUUAUUAUUAUUAUUAUUAUUAUUAUUAUUAUUAUUAUUAUUUUAUUAUUAUUAUUAUUGUUAUUAUUAUUAUUAUUAUUAUUAUUAUUAUUAUUAUUAUUAUUUUUACGAUGGUUAUUUUUGGUUGUGUGUAGGUACCCUACCGGCAAGACAACAACUAGGAUCAGUUUAUCGGAGUACCGGACAAGAUAACUACCGACAACCAGUUUCAAAUCAGCAAUUCAACAGAGAAAACAUAUUCAACUUCGACGGCAAGCCAGCAGGAUCACCACCAGCUAAGUGCAUUUUCCUCUCCUGUUUUCUUCCUUUCAUUGAUCUUUUUAUUUAUUUUUUUUUAUAUUUACUUAUUGUGUUAUUAUUGUUAUUAUUAUUAUUAUUAUUAUUAUUAUUAUUAUUAUUGAACCAACAAAACAAGAACAGUAGACUAUCAUACUCAUUAAUAGCUUCAUGGAACAACUUCAAUUGCACUAUAUAUACUCAUUAAUAGCUUUAAGGAACAAUUCCAGCUGCUGUUGUGUUUAAGUUGCUGCACUACAAUGUUAAUGUACAUAUAUUUCUAGCACAAACUACUAGCAAACUUUAAUUAAAUUAGGAAUCAGGUUCCCAUGACCAUUACACAUGUAAGGAAGAAUGUUGUUGCCCUUACUUGCAUAAUGAACCACACCCAUAUAUUAAACAAGCUUACCAAGAAGAUUAGCUUGCUCGUAUUACCAAGGCUACACUCUGCUUGUUGCAUUCUCCCCUUUUUAGAAAAAAUCCUUCCUCGAAUUUUUGUAGGAUGAACCUCAACAAAUCUACUAACAUGAACAAACUCCACAAAGUGUGUUUGUUUAACCACACGAUCAAUGUGAACAAACUUUCCCUCCGUAGCUUGCACAACAUGUAAACUAGUCCUCCAACUUGAAGGAUAAUUCACCACUUUCUAAGGUUGCAUCAAAGAAUCAACAUCCUCAACAUUAGUUGUCUCAACAAUUUCUUCAAGAUCAUCAACAACCUCUACACAAGAUGCCUCAACAUCUCCUUUAAGAUCAUUAAUCACCUCUGCACAAGAUGCUUCAACAAUUUCUUCACUACCCUCUUCAUUGCAUGAAUCUGGAUAUUCAUCAUAGAUAGGAACCACACUUGAAUACAAGUCGAGUUCCUCUUGUUUAGAAGCAAUUUCAUCACCUUUUGUCUCCACAAUGGAUGGUUCUUGAUUGUUAAAAGAAGAAAACAAUGGUGUGCUUUGUGUAUCAACAUGCUUUGAAAUGAUCUCAAAUUUAAUCCUAACCGGAUCAACAUCAGGAUAAAACUCAUGAACAAUUACCAUUUUAGAAUCCCCAUGUUGCUCUUGCAAUUGUUGUUGAAAUCUCAGCUUUUCUUGACGAAGUUCAAACUUCCUCUUCAAGCUUUGCUUUUGACUCCUAACAUCCACCAAUUUUUUAAGACAAAGACACAAUUGAGCCCAAUCCCUUUGACGGUAACAGUCCACUUUCAACCUCACAAGCCUUUCCUCCUCCAAAUUCAAUAUGUUUAGGUGAAGGUUUUCAAGUGCACACUCUAGUUUAUCCAAUGAUUUUUGUGUGUUCAUGUCUGCUUCCGUUGAUUUCAUAUUCUAAGGCUCAAGAAUCUCUCAAAAUUUAAGUAUGAGAGUAAGGGUAAGAGUGAAAAAGAAAGAAAAACAAAGAAAUGAAGUUUGGAAUUUUUUGUGCACAAAACAGAAAGAAAAUAGAACCAAACACCCCAAAUUCAGAAAUCUGUGUGAAAUGUUUGCUACUGAAAACCCGAACAAACAAAAUCCAAGUAUGAUGAAACUUGGUGACAACACACCUCAAGAUGUCUACAAACACCCCAAAUUGGAAAUACUCAAAUACGUGGUCUAGCUUGAUCAUAAAUCAGAUUUCACUACACACAUACAGUCUGAAUUGUUUCUGUGACCUUUGGUCAAAAACACUUGCGCAUCUUUUUGUUCACAACUCCAAUGACUACACAAAAAGGCUUACCAGAAACUAGACUCAAAAUGAAUCAAUAUGAAAAAAAGAAACAAUGAAAAAGACUCAAAAAUGAAGGAGACACAACGAAAAUACAGAAGACAAAUACAAAUGAGACUCUCUGUACUUUGAGAAACAACAAUGAAAUGUGUCAAUCAAGAAACCUAUGAAACGUAAGAAAAAGCGCAAAAAUGAUGUGGUUUAAUGAAUAUAGGAUAUUUAUUGAUAAUUUGGUGAAAGAUGAGAGAAAAAUAAAAGAAUCUUGAUAGGUUUUCGAAGACAACUUACCAAGGUACCCGGAUUUCAUCAGUUUUGGGCAGUCUGUAAAGAAAAAUUCAUAUCUCCUUAACCACAACACCAAAACUAAUGAUUCCAAAGCCAAAACUUUUCCAAUUCAAUCCGAAAUACCGUGUAAAAACAGUUUUGAAAACAAACCACAAUACGAUCCCCAAAACACUACUACUUUCGACCCCAAAUGCAGUCAGUUUCUGACAGCUUCUGUUUCUUCUUGUUAUUGCGACUUUUGUCUGUUGUUGCUCAUCAAAAUCGAUUGAAUUAUGAACCCCAAGGACUUUGAGGCUCUGAUACCAAUUGAUCUAAGUACGCGUGGUCAGCGCACGAAUUGGAUUUGAAACGAAGAUGAGGGAUAUUCCAAGAAACUGACACGAAGAAUAGGUGUAAGAACUGGACUGCCAGACUCCUUAAUCACUCAACUCUACGCUUCCUCCUUUGAUCUGCAAGGGAGUUAACAGCAUCUAUGGAUGGGGAGGAGUGGUGUCUUGAUGAACACACAAGAACACGCACAACCUUGAAGGGCAAAACUGGCCCUUAGUAACCCAAUUGCAAAGCAAUUGAAAGAAAAUUCACUUGAUGAAAUUUCAGAACAUUAUCAUUCAUAACUUCUCGUUACAAUGAACAAGCCAUCUAUAUAUAGACGUAAGGGAAGAGGGAAAUACAAUGAGAAGGCUAAUGACACGUCUAACUAACAAUAACGGUCAUAAAGGAGCACGUGCACAACAUGUGCUUCAUUAAAAAAUAAAAACAAGCUGCAAAAGUAUUCUGAAAUUCUGACAGAAGGGCUGCUGACCAGGCGACCUUCCACCCACUUUCUUGUGCUCUUCCCAAGGUUGAUAAUGGCCACUAAGAGUCUUGGUGGCAAGAUUCUAGUGUAGAGAUUCCAUUUCUAUCCUUGGUUGUCCCGUAGAUCAAAAGGUACGUUCAGGCCAAGGCUCACAAGGUCAGCUGGUCAUAAGAUCAGUGCUGUUUUGUUUCGAACCAGCUGCUGACUACACGACCUUGCACACGGAUUUCAGAGAGUUGUGUGAGUUAUUAAUAGGGCUCUUGGCCCUUAAUGGCUAGGUCCAUGUGCCAAGAUUCCAUUUCUACUGUAGCCCAGGUCGUGGAUGCACCGGUUUGGUCUUCACGUGUCGUGCAAGGUGGGCUGUUCGCUAGUUUUGCUGCUGUGCUGUUCUGCUGCUGUUUUCAGUGUUCUGUGUAUGUUCUUGGCUUUCCUUGUUCUUGCCUUUGUAUCUAUUUCUCCAUGAUUAAUUCAUCCCCCUUCCUAGCUGUCUUGGCUCUCAUUUCAUUCAAGAUCCAUGGGUGAAUCACUAAGUGCAGAACCAGAAUCAUCAGAAACAUUAGAGUAGCUUCAGUAGCUCCUGUUGCUCUUGUUGCUUCAGUUGCUAUCUCUGUCUUUGCGGUUGCUUCUUGAUGCCUUUGGGCUUACGUUUCUUCCUUCAUCUAAGCCUAGUUAAUUUGGCUCAAUGUCAUCUACAUACAUGCCUUCAAGGUCAUCUUGUAUUGAACCAUGUGAUUGAGAGAUGCACAUGACUUGGGAGAUGCAUGUGCAUAUGGUUGAACAACACACGUCCAUUCAUCCACUUAUUGCCAAGCUACCAAGAUCUAAACCAAUAUGGUUCAAUCCCUCCUUCUUGGAAAAAGAAUUGUCCUCAAUUCUUGACCUGUAUGUUGUGACUAGCUGAAUGUGUGCACAAGAUUGAUGUGUUGUUGCAUAGGACAUCUUCUGAAUUCUAUUGCACGCAAAUAAAUCUGCUGCUGCACCUUCUGUGUUGUCCUUAAUUCUUGAACCAACAAAACAAGAACAGUAGACUAUCAUACUCAUUAUAGCUUCAUGGAACAACUUCAGUUGCACUAUAUAUACUCAUUAAUAGCUUUAAGGAACAAUUCCAGCUGCUGUUGUGUUUAAGUUGCUGCACUACAAUGUUAAUGUACAUAUAUUUCUAGCACAAACUACUAGCAAACUUUAAUUAAAUUAGGAAUCAGGUUUCCCAUGACCAUUACACAUGUAAGGAAGAAUGUUGUUGCCCUUACUUGCAUAAUGAACCACACCCAUAUAUUAAACAAGCUUACCAAGAAGAUUAGCUUGCUCGUAUUACCAAGGCUACACUCUGCUUGUUGCAUUCACCCCUUUUUAGAAAAAAUCCUUCAUCGAAUUUUUGUAGGAUGAACCUCAACAAAUCUACUAACAUGAACAAACUCCACAAAGUGUGUUUGUUUAACCACACGAUCAAUGUGAACAAACUUUCCCUCCGUAGCUUGCACAACAUGUAAACUAGUCCUCCAACUUGAAGGAUAAUUCACCACUUCCAAAGGUUGCAUCAAAGAAUUAACAUCCUCAACAUUAGUUGUCUCAACAAUUUCUUCAAGAUCAUCAACAACCUCUACACAAAAUGCCUCAACAUCUCCUUUAAGAUCAUUAAUCACCUCUACACAAGAUUUCUAAGCAAAAAACUACCUUAAUUAAAAAAUUUUGCAAAAAACUACCUUAUAUAAUACAAUUGUUUGCAAAACACUACCUUAUAACAAAUUGUGGUCUUUGACCGCUAUCUUUAACCGUUGACCCGCAUGUGACACGCACGUGAUACUUUAAUUGUAUGACUUCUUCUUCAUUUCAGUUCAGCCCAUUCGAAAAUCCUUUCAAUCCUGCCAUUUCCAGCGACAACUCCAUUGAUGUAGCUUCUCAUUUCGCUCCCAUCCACCUCGUAACUUCAUCUCCUUGAAAUUUCUAAGCAAAUUCGGUAUCUACUACUACUUAAUUAUGGUUUUGUACUUCAUUGUUGUAUUUUAGAAAUAAUUUAAAAUUUAUUUCGUUUUUCAAAUUUGCUUCCUUUUGCAGCGAUUUUUCUAUUGAAUUCAAGCAACGGAGAUGUGGUAAUUAUGGUGACCUAGGUCACUACAUCAAAGGCUGCAAUAAUCCACCAAAACCACCACCAACAAAGACCAAGUCAAAGGGUGGUAGGCCUAAAAUGGGAUCUUCUUCUACUCAACAAUCUACAACAAAUGAUGUGCCUAGCUCCAGUGGUCAACAACAAACGCAAAAUGCUGCAUCUACUUCAUGUGUAAUGGAUCAAAAUAGUCAAAUAUAGACUUGUGAAGAGUAAUUUACUGUUGAAUGUAAUGUGUUGAAUUAGUAUAAGUGUAUGAGUUUCAGGUUGUAAUGUGUAUGAACUGAGAAUGUACUAUGUUGAACUGUAUUUUAGCAAAUCAGUGUAUGAACUGAGCAUGUAAUGUGUUGAAUUAAGUGCAA
This is a long non-coding RNA of Amaranthus tricolor (Joseph's coat), 7714 nucleotides long. RefSeq lists it as uncharacterized. The transcript has 2 exons. Lineage: Eukaryota; Viridiplantae; Streptophyta; Magnoliopsida; Caryophyllales; Amaranthaceae. The record is from RefSeq and is a predicted model, not a curated record.